CCCUUAGAUGUUCUGGGCUGCACGCGCGCUACACUGAUGCACUCAACGAGUUUACGACCUUGUCCGAGAGGAUUGGGUAAUCUUUUUAAAAUGCAUCGUGAUGGGGAUAGAUUAUUGCAAUUAUUAAUCUUCAACGAGGAAUUCCUAGUAAGCGCGAGUCAUCAGCUCGUGCUGAUUACGUCCCUGCCCUUUGUACACACCGCCCGUCGCACCUACCGAUUGAAUGGUCCGGUGAAGCCUCCGGAUUGGCGCGCACCUCGGUGCCGCCGAGAAGUUGGCUAAACCUUACCAUUUAGAGGAAGGUGAAGUCGUAACA
This 316-nucleotide ribosomal RNA is filed under the name uncultured eukaryote. RNAcentral's name for it is "partial 18S ribosomal RNA". It matches the Rfam family "Eukaryotic small subunit ribosomal RNA", at positions 1470 to 1796 of the family's 1831-position model. The record is from RNAcentral.